Hanseniaspora uvarum DSM 2768 is the source of this 89-nucleotide non-coding RNA. Lineage: Eukaryota; Fungi; Ascomycota; Saccharomycetes; Saccharomycodales; Saccharomycodaceae. The record is from Rfam.
UCUCUAUGAUGUUAUUAUAAUAUUUGCUACUUCAGAGGGACCAUCUAUCCCAAUGAGACAUACUAAUUAUCACCAAGAUCUCUGAGAGA